RNAcentral lists this ribosomal RNA (301 nucleotides) under uncultured bacterium. RNAcentral describes it as "partial 16S ribosomal RNA". It matches the Rfam family "Bacterial small subunit ribosomal RNA", at positions 509 to 807 of the family's 1533-position model. The record is from RNAcentral.
CAGUCGCCGCGGUAAUACGUAGGUGGCAAGCGUUGUCCGGAAUUAUUGGGCGUAAAGGGCUCGCAGGCGGUUUCUUAAGUCUGAUGUGAAAGCCCCCGGCUCAACCGGGGAGGGUCAUUGGAAACUGGGAAACUUGAGUGCAGAAGAGGAGAGUGGAAUUCCACGUGUAGCGGUGAAAUGCGUAGAGAUGUGGAGGAACACCAGUGGCGAAGGCGACUCUCUGGUCCGUAACUGACGCUGAGGAGCGAAAGCGUGGGGAGCGAACAGGAUUAGAUACCCCAGUAGUCCCUGUCUCUUAUAC